Molecule: ribosomal RNA, 507 nt
Filed under: uncultured bacterium
Lineage: Bacteria
Description: bacterial SSU rRNA
Rfam family: Bacterial small subunit ribosomal RNA
Source: RNAcentral
GAUGAACGCUAGCUACAGGCUUAACACAUGCAAGUCGAGGGGAAACGAUAGAGAAAGCUUGCUUUUUCUAGGCGUCGACCGGCGCACGGGUGAGUAACGCGUAUCCAACCUGCCCAUCACUUGGGGAUAACCUUGCGAAAGUAAGACUAAUACCCAAUGACGUCUCUAGAAGACAUCUGAAGGAGAUUAAAGAUUUAUCGGUGAUGGAUGGGGAUGCGUCUGAUUAGCUUGUUGGCGGGGUAACGGCCCACCAAGGCGACGAUCAGUAGGGGUUCUGAGAGGAAGGUCCCCCCACAUUGGAACUGAGACACGGUCCAAACUCCUACGGGAGGCAGCAGUGAGGAAUAUUGGUCAAUGGACGAGAGUCUGAACCAGCCAAGUAGCGUGCAGGAUGACGGCCCUAUGGGUUGUAAACUGCUUUUAUAAGGGAAUAAAGUGAGUCUCGUGAGACUUUUUGCAUGUACCUUAUGAAUAAGGACCGGCUAAUUCCGUGCCAGCAGCCGACGG